RNAcentral lists this ribosomal RNA (1126 nucleotides) under uncultured organism. Its description in RNAcentral is "bacterial SSU rRNA". It matches the Rfam family "Bacterial small subunit ribosomal RNA", at positions 122 to 1295 of the family's 1533-position model. The record is from RNAcentral.
GAACCUGCCCCAAACUCAGGGAUAACAUCUAGAAAUAGGUGCUAAUACCGGAUAGUCCCGCAAGGGUAAAGAUUUUUCGGUUUGGGAGGGGCCUGCGUACUAUCAGCUAGUUGGUAAGGUAAUGGCUUACCAAGGCUAUGACGGUUAACUGGUCUGAGAGGAUGAUCAGUCGCGAUGGGACUGAGACACGGCCCAUACUCCUACGGGAGGCAGCAGUAAGGAAUCUUCCACAAUGGACGAAAGUCUGAUGGAGCAACACCGCGUGAUCGAUGAAGCCUUUAGGGGUGUAAAGAUCUUUUCUGAGAGAAGAACUCUGACGGUAUCUUAGGAAUAAGCACCGGCUAACUCCGUGCCAGCAGCCGCGGUAAUACGGAGGGUGCAAGCGUUACCCGGAAUCAUUGGGCGUAAAGCGUCCGCAGGCGGUUUGUUAAGUAAGAUGUUAAAUUUUCCAGCUCAACUGGAAAUCUAUGUCUUAAACUGGCAAACUAGAGUAUUACAGAGGUGUGCAGAAUUCUGUGUGUAGGGGUAAAAUCCGUAGAUACACAGAGGAAUACCAAAAGCGAAGGCAGCACACUGGGUAAUUACUGACGCUCAGGGACGAAAGCGUGGGGAGCGAACGGGAUUAGAUACCCCGGUAGUCCACGCCGUAAACGAUGGAUACUAGGUGUUGGGAGACUCGACCCUUCCGGUGCCGAUGCUAACGCAUUAAGUAUCCCGCCUGGGAAGUACGGUCGCAAGAUUAAAACUCAAAGGAAUAGACGGGGACCCACACAAGCGGUGGAGCAUGUGGUUUAAUUCGAUGAUAAGCGAGGAACCUUACCCAGACUUGACAUCCCGAGAAUUUUCCAGAAAUGGAAAAGUGCCGCAAGGAACUCGGUGACAGGUGCUGCAUGGUUGUCGUCAGCUCGUGCCUUGAGGUGUUCGGUUAAGUCCGUGAACGAGCGCAACCCUUGUCUUGUGUUGUAUGUUUCACAAGAGACUGCCGACUUUAAGUCGGAGGAAGGUAAGGAUGACGUCAAAUCAGCAUGGCCCUUAUGUCUGGGGCUACACACGUGCUACAAUGGCCAGUACAGAGGGCAGCAAACCCGCAAGGGGGAGCCAAUCCUUAAAACAUGGUCCAAGUUCG